Musa acuminata AAA Group (dessert banana) is the source of this 774-nucleotide long non-coding RNA. RefSeq lists it as uncharacterized. NCBI's taxonomy places the organism in Eukaryota, Viridiplantae, Streptophyta, Magnoliopsida, Zingiberales, Musaceae. The transcript has 2 exons. The record is from RefSeq and is a predicted model, not a curated record.
CAAGUGGAGUUCCUUUUUCUGGUUCUCUAGGACAUCAUGUCUGGUCGAGAUGGAGUGUUCCAUGCUGCUCUAUAUAUUAUUCUUGUUCCAGCGUAUCCAAGAUAAGUAUCUUGAAAAUGCAUAUGUGAGCAUAUUGCUGAUGCAAAUUGAAAUAAGAAUUGAUUCUUAACCUCAUUAUGUUAAGCCAGUAUAAUAACAAGUAUAUCGACGAAGAAGAAGAAGAAGAGUCCUUUUAGGAACAUUCAGAUCAGAUCCUUUAUGUUCAUUCAAAAUAGAUGUUCAGAAGACGGGGAGCUAUGCAUGAAGUCGAGCUGAACUGUGGUAGUAAGUAGCCAAUACCUCCGAUCUCUAGAGAUGACAACUGAGUUCCAAGGAUCAAGGUAAGGCUCAGCUUGCUGAUGGAGACCAAUCGCCUGAUGACAUGGGGAGUUCUAAAUCUCCGCAAGAAGGAUCUGCUCUUAUACAGGUAGAGAAGUUGGAUUCGAAAGGUUAGCAUGGUUUCAAGUCACAGGGACAGUGCCAAGAUUCAAAAUCCGAGCUCUUGGAUGUGUAUGCAGCUGCCAACUCUUCGAUCGAGGAGGGUUUCAACCACAUCCAGAGGCCAUGAACAUGAUAUGAAGUGUUCAUGGAUGUAGCAUUCUUGAGUCAACAGCAGUUAGCUGAUAUACUCCUAUCGAUUAUAAUGUUCUUUUUUAGAGUCUGAAGUGUGAUUCUUCACUUCAUAUAUUUCUGUAGCUACAUCUAUAGUAAGAAAUAAACAAUAAAUGCCCCAUU